GAUGAACGCUAGCGAUAGGCUUAACACAUGCAAGUCGAGGGGUAACGUGUUGGAAGCUUGCUUCCGAUGACGACGACCGGCGGAUGGGUGCGUAACGCGUAUGCAACUUGCCUCACAGUGGAGAAUAACCCGGAGAAAUCCGGACUAAUGUUCCAUACACUCUUAAGUACCCCUGUACAUGAGAGGAAAGAUUUAUCGCUGUGAGAUAGGCAUGCGUCCUAUUAGGUAGUUGGUGAGGUAACGGCUCACCAAGCCGACGAUAGGUAGGGGUGCUGAGAGGCAGAUCCCCCACAUUGGGACUGAGACACGGCCCAAACUCCUACGGGAGGAAGCAGUGAGGAAGAUUGGUCAAUGGAGGAAACUCUGAACCAGCCAAGUCGCGUGAAGGAAGAAUGUCCUAAGGAUUGUAAACUUCUUUAGCGAGCGAGUAAGGACUUCCACGUGAUGGGAGUUUGAAAGUAGCUCGAGAAUAAGUAUCGGCUAACUCCGUG
RNAcentral lists this ribosomal RNA (491 nucleotides) under uncultured bacterium. RNAcentral describes it as "partial 16S ribosomal RNA". It matches the Rfam family "Bacterial small subunit ribosomal RNA", at positions 28 to 507 of the family's 1533-position model. The record is from RNAcentral.